This 21-nucleotide unclassified non-coding RNA is filed under the name Chlamydomonas reinhardtii. RNAcentral's name for it is "small RNA Cre_2353". The record is from RNAcentral. Lineage: Eukaryota; Viridiplantae; Chlorophyta; Chlorophyceae; Chlamydomonadales; Chlamydomonadaceae.
UAGUGCUCACUAACCAAGACA